UAUAUACUCCCUCCGUCCAACAAAAGAUGUCUCAACUUUGACCAAAUUUGAAUGCAUCUAUACACUAAGUUAUGUCUAGAUGCAUCCAAAUUUUAACAAACUUUUGACAUCUUUUGUUGAACAGAGUGAGUAUCUU
Molecule: non-coding RNA, 136 nt
Organism: Brachypodium distachyon (stiff brome)
Lineage: Eukaryota; Viridiplantae; Streptophyta; Magnoliopsida; Poales; Poaceae
Source: Rfam